GCACGAGUCAAGCAAAAUUUGGUGUUAGCAAUAGCAGCAGAAAUAUAGGAAGCAGUGGCAGUAACAAUUCUAAAUCCUAACGACAGAGAAUUACAAAUUAAUCAAAAUGCUAUGCAAAUGUCUCCUUGAAGUAGUGCAAACGUAAUCAACAAAUUAGCAGAUAAGUAGUAAAUAAACAAUGAAGCAGGUUUAAUUUAAUAGCCUCUGAUUGUCCAAGGUCGACGUUGCUAAAUUUUUAGUUUAGGCAGAAGACAUUAUCAACCGCCAUAGCGUGCUUUACUAGCUCAGCAUUUUACUCAAGUCUGAUAAUUUAACCAGCAGCAGCAAGUGCAAAAA
This 336-nucleotide unclassified non-coding RNA is filed under the name Hevea brasiliensis (rubber tree). Lineage: Eukaryota; Viridiplantae; Streptophyta; Magnoliopsida; Malpighiales; Euphorbiaceae. The record is from RNAcentral.